Molecule: ribosomal RNA, 510 nt
Filed under: uncultured bacterium
Lineage: Bacteria
Description: partial 16S ribosomal RNA
Rfam family: Bacterial small subunit ribosomal RNA
Source: RNAcentral
GACGAACGCUGGCGGCGUGCUUAACACAUGCAAGUCGAACGAAGAGCGAUGGAAGCUUGCUUCUAUCAAUCUUAGUGGCGAACGGGUGAGUAACGCGUAAUCAACCUGCCCUUCAGAGGGGGACAACAGUUGGAAACGACUGCUAAUACCGCAUACGAUCUAAUCUCGGCAUCGAGGAUAGAUGAAAGGUGGCCUCUACAUGUAAGCUAUCACUGAAGGAGGGGAUUGCGUCUGAUUAGCUAGUUGGAGGGGUAACGGCCCACCAAGGCGAUGAUCAGUGGCCGGUCUGAGAGGAUGAACGGCCACAUUGGGACUGAGACACGGCCCAGACUCCUACGGGAGGCAGCAGUGGGGAAUCUUCCGCAAUGGACGAAAGUCUGACGGAGCAACGCCGCGGGAGUGAUGACGGCCUUCGGGUUGUAAAGCUCUGUUAAUCGGGACGAAAGGCCUUCUUGCGAAUAGUGAGAAGGAUUGACGGUACCGGAAUAGAAAGCCACGGCUAACUACGUG